This is a long non-coding RNA of Sarcophilus harrisii (Tasmanian devil), 28604 nucleotides long. NCBI's taxonomy places the organism in Eukaryota, Metazoa, Chordata, Mammalia, Dasyuromorphia, Dasyuridae. The record is from Ensembl.
CUUUCUCUGUCUGAAUCCCCCCCUUUUGUUUCUCUCAUUCUCUUCCCUCCCUUCUUGUGAUCUCUCUAUUGCACUUCUUUUCUCUUGCUGUCUAUCUGUAUCCUACUCUUAUUACUUUCUCCCUUUCAUUCUUUUCCCCCCUCAAUCUGUCUUCCUUUCUCUUUUUCUGUCUUACUCUAAAUCCACCUCUCCCUCCAACCUUUCCCCCAUCUUACCUUUCCAACUGCUGCCAAGUGACCUUGCUCCACGCUCUGUCUGCUCCACCCGGGGCCAACCUCCCUUGGUGUUCCUCUCGAAGCUACGCCAUUCUCAGAUGACAUUUUCUGUGACUGUCAACCUGGCUUAGUCUUGGACACCGAUGUCAGUGUCCCAGCUUACCUGGCUUGUUUCCAGUCCUAGCUCCAAUGUCACCAUCUGCCUCUCAAGAUUCUCUUCCAUUUACCCUGGAGAUACACUGAGUGCUCAGAGUUGCCGGCACAUUGCCUGCCACUUAGAAACUCUCAAUAAAGUUUUCUUGAAAUGAGCAGAACCAGGAGAUCAUUAUAUACUUCAACAACAACACUAUAUGAUGAUCAAGUCUGAUGGACGUGGCCCUGUUCAACAAUGAGAUGAAAAAAAUUAGCUCCAAUAGAACAGUAAUGAAUAGAACCAGCUACACCCAGGCAAAGAAUUCUGGGAGAUGACUAAGAACCACUACACAGAAUUCCCAAUCCCUCUAUUUUUGUCCGCCUGCAUUUUGGAUCUCCUUCACAGGCUAAUUGGACACUUUCAAAAUAACUGUUUGGACAUGUAUAGAUAUAUUGUAUUUAACUUAUACUUCAACAUAUUUAACAUGUAUUGGUCAUCCUGCCAUCUGGGGGAAGGAGGGGAAAAAUUGGAACAAAAGGUUUGGCAAUUGUCAAUGCUGCAAAAUUACCCAGGUAUAUAUCUUCUAAAUAAAAAGCUAUAAUAAUUUUUUUAAAAAGUUUUCUUGCCUUGACUUUGUGCGUUCGUUAUUACCAUUCAGGGCACCGUCCACCGACAAGAAAACUUCCUUCCUUAAGCACAUCUCUCAGAGACAUCCCCUUCUCUCCACUCAAACCGUCCCCACCACCUUGCAAUGAGAUGCAAGCUCUCAUUACCUCACUUCCUGGUCCGGUCCAUUUUCCACUCCCUCUCAAAGCAAUCUCUCUAAAGCUCGUAUCUGACCUUAGCAAUCCCCUACACUGUAAAUAACGGCACCUCCCUCCAAGAUCCAAUGGGCAAACCUCUCUUUAGCUCUUAAUGAUCUCCUCAAACUGUCUCCUUCAAGAGUUCCCAUUCAGGAGCUCCUUCACAAAGAACAUCCCAGCUUUCCUUGAUAAGUCCCAGCACACAGAAACAGCCUCCUUUCCCUUUGCCCUGUAUCUAUGCUGAGCAUCCAGCUGCUCCCAUGGUGUCCGCUCCAAUUACAAUCUGAGUCCUCAAAGGCAGGGCCCUCGUCUAUCCCUUCUUUCUCGCCACACUCUCAUCCCCCUGCCUAGCACUUAGAGAAGCCAGAAAUACUUGAUAAAUCCCGUUACCCUGCUCAACCUGCCAUCUGGGGGAGGGGGAAGGAGGCGGAAAAUUGGAACAAAAGGCUUUGCAACGGUCAAUGCUGACAAACUACCCAUGCAUAUAUCUUGCAGAUAAAAAGCUACAUUAAAAAAAAAAGCAAAACUUCUAUCCCAAACGUAUAUUUUAGGGAUUUUUUUAACCUCUAGUAGAACUGGAAUUUGGUCUCCAAUCCAAUAUUCCCAGGGAAAUAUGAAGUCUGAUAAGUAUACUAGUGUGCUAGGAAGACAGAAAUUGACAGAAUAUUGCAAUACAAUCUUGUACCAAAAGCUCCAUGUGAUGAAAAGUUAAGAUAUAUACCCAAGGGAUUGGAAUAAAUGUUUCAACGGUCAAAAAAAAAAGGAUAAAUACUAUUACCCAUCCUCCUCCCAAGCUCUCCAUCAUCUCCAACUCCUUGUUCAGUCUAACUGCACAGAGCACCUCUGACCACAAAUGGUCUUUCCUAGCUUCCCAAUACAUACUGGUUCUCCCUUCGCACACCACCUCUCAGACAUAUCCCAUUCUCCCUUCACUCCGCUGCCUAAUAUUCCUAAAGUUCGCACUAAUCCCACUGACCUUUCCUUCCAGCUCCCAACCCUCAGCCCCUCGGGAACUACACUGGAAAAGCUGUUGUCUCUGCAUUAUUUCCCAGAUUAAAUAUAAAAGCCCUGCUUUGGCUUUUCAUGCCCUGUCCUGCCUGUGUAGUGUACCCAUCCCUUCCAUGGAUGCUUCCAACUACAACCCUGGCGCAGAUGCUUCUCACCACGGCCUUCUCUAUGCGUCAGGGAACUCCCAGGAUGCCAGGCCAUCUUCCACUCGCCUCCCCUAAGGAUCGACCGUCUCAGUCCCCUGUUGUGUAAAUGUUCUGUGCCUCCCUAUUUCAUACACACUGAAAUAAAAAAGUCUUCUGUUUCUCUCUUAAUCUCUUCCCUUUCUAACUUUCCCGUCUUCUUAUACUUUGGCUCAACAGACCCUCUAAUCCAACACACUGGGCUCCUUGCUGCUCCUCCCAAAGGACAAGCCCUCUCUGCUUUAUCCAUUUUCUAAGGCUUUACUCUCAUGAUUGCAUAUGGGCUGUUUGCGUUCCCUUGUCCCUUUCAGCAUCCUGCACGUCCAGGUUUUAUCCCAUUGUCUGGCACAUGGUGCAGACAUCCCUAUUCUUUUUUAUUACAUUUCUUAUCAUAGCUUUUUAUUUACAAGAUAUGCAUGGGUAAUUUUUCAGCACUGACCCUUGCAAAACCUUCCAACUUUUCUCCCUCCUUCCCCUCCCCCCUCCCCUAGAUGACAAAUAGUCCCAUACAUGUUAAAUAUGGUAAAGUAUAAGACAUCCCUAUUCUUGUUGGAGGGGAUGCGGGAAAACUGGGGCUGAUGCACUGUUGGUGGAGUUGUGAACGAAUCCAACCAUUCUGGAGAGCGAUCUGGAAUUAUGCCAAAAAGUUAUCCAACUGUGAUUCAGCAGUGCUACUACUGGGCUUCUAUCCCAAAGAGAAACUAAAGAAGGGAAAGGGAGCUGUAUGUGCCAAAAUGUUUGCAGCAGCCCUCUUUGUAGUGGCCAGAAACUGGAAAAUGAAUGGAUGCCCAUCAACUGGAGAAUGGUUGGGUAAAUUGUGGUAUAUGAAGGUUAUGGAAUAUUAUUGUUCUGUAAGAAAUGACCAGCAGGAGGAUUUCAGAAAGGCCUGGAGAGACUUACAGGGACUGAUGCUGAGGGAAGUGAGCAGGGCCAGGAGAUCGUUAUAUACUUCAACAACAAUACUAGAUGAGGAUGUAUUCUGAUGGAAGGGGAUUUCUUUGACAAAGAGAAGACCUAACUCAGUUUCAAUUGAUCAAGGAUGGACAGAAGCAGCUACACCCAAAGAAAGAACACUGGGAAAUGAAUGUAAACUGUUUGCAUUUUUGUUUUUCUUCCUGGGUUAUUUCUACCUUCUGAAUCCAAUUCUUCCCGUGCAACAAGAGAACUAUUCGGUCCUGCACACAUGUAUUGUAUCUAGGACAUACUAUAACAUAUUUAACAUGUAGAGGACUGCCUGACAUCCAGGGGAGGAGGUAGAGGGAAGGAAGGGAAAAGUCGGAACAGAAGUGAGUGCAAGAGAUAAGGUUGUAAAUAAUUACCCAGGCAUGGGUUCUGGCAAUAAAAGUUAUAAUAAUAAUAAAAAGACAUCCCUAUUCUUGUAGAGUGGCCAUCAUCUUCCUAAGGAUCCAAGCUUUCCUAUUAACCUCAAAGCUGUCCGCUAGUCCCCUCACGUACUCAACUACUACCCCAAGUUGUCCUUUCUACUUUCACAGCAUCUCCUAUUUUUUCCUUCCCGACAGUCUCCUGUUGUCUAUUUUUUCUCUCCACUCCCGCAGUCACUCUCCGAUGCAGCCCAGCAUCCCCUCUGCUUUGGACUCUGGUCAAUUAGCCUUCUCCUUCUCCUUCCCUCUCAAGGCUUUCCCUGAUCUAGUCCAUUCUCUACUAAACUGCUGAAUGUCUGGAUAUUCUUCACCCCGCGCCACUUCCUACUUUUAUAGUCUUCUCCUACUUGCCCUGCACAACGCGCUAUGGAACACCAGCUUCCCUGCCCUUCCUUCCACACAGCUAGACUCAGUGUUUCAACAGAAGGCCCCCAGUUUGAAACUACAAGGCUCCCCCUUCUCAUUCCUACCUCCUGGUCCUUUGAACAUAUUCUUCCCCCUUCAAAAUGUGACCUUCGCAAGAUCAGGAACCAGCCCUGCCUUUCUUUGGAUUCCCAUUGUUUAGCACAUGGCCUGGCCCAGAGGAAGCUCUAACUAAAGGCUGAUUGGCUGGACUGGUUUCAAAAGCUUGAUGAUUUUACCUUCCCAACGUCUCUCUCCCCAAAUGCUUCAUUCACUCAUUCAUUCAUCCAUUCGUUCGUUCAUUUAUGCACACGUGCUCUUCCAUCCGUGCACAGCAGCCCCCUGGCUCGUCUUCCCUGCUGACCAGCCCACCCGGGAGCUCUUUUCCUCUAUUUGCAGGGAUUUCUCCUGGUCCCCUACAGGCUUUGUCAUUUCUCCCUAGACUUACUUGUCCCAUGUGCUCACUGGCUGUCUCCCAGACUGUACCAGAGCUACCUGCGACUUCCACUUAAUGGCUCUGUCUUCUGCAUUCAGGAGUUCACCUCAGUUUGAUUUUACUAUUUCUUCUAUGAUCACAUAUGGGUUUGUUGACUUGCCCUGUCCUUCAGAGGCAACUAGAAUUGCCAAGUUGUCUCUACAGAUGCUACAUGUUCCAGAUCAAUGUUUUACCUCUUUGGGUGAGUGCCCAGACUUCCCUCACUCUGGAACCUCGGUCCUUCUCCCUUGAGACCUGCUCACCUUGGUACAUCACUCUACCAUGCUGGCCCCUUUCAGCCACUGGUGAACUCUUUUGAGGUCCCUAUUUGGGAAAGGGGCCCAGGCUGUGUAACCUCCAUUCACCUUCUGCCUCUAUUUCUGAUUUCCCAGCCUACUAUCUCAACCUCAAACUUUCCCCCCCUUCCCCUUUGACCUUCAGUGGCGGGGGCCUCCUCAUGCUGGAACGUCCAUCGACGCUGGAUCAUCAGUCCACCAUGCUGGUCUCCUUCUGCCUUUUCUGAGAUCCUCCAAAGUUCUCCACUUCAGGGACAGUCCCGGGUCACAUAACGUUGAUUCUACUUCCAGCACCGUUUCUGAACUGGAUGUCGAGCCAAUACUUCAACUGUAGUCUCACCUCUGUACCUCUUCCAGUGGCCGGGGCCUCCUCAUGGUGGGACAUUCAUCAGCUUAGGUGGUCUUCUCACAGGCCUGUUCUACACUGGCCUCCUCCUGCCAUUUCUGAGGUCACCUCUGGGUCUCUCCUUCAGGGAAGGGCCCAAGUCACAUCACCUCGAUGCCAAUUCCAGCAGGGUUUUGAAUUUGCCUCGGAUGCAGUCUUGUCCUUGAACCUUUUCCAGUCACUGGGCCUCCUCGUGAUAGAACAUCCAUGCACUUUGCGGCCUUCUCACCCUAGCUCAUCAGGCCACCAUGGUGGCUUCCUGCUGCUGUUACCGAGGUCCUCCAAAGUUCUCCUUUUCAGGGAUGAGUCUAGAUCAUAAAAGCUUGAUUCCAAUUCCAGCAGGGUUUCUGAAUCUCCAGAUUUCGGUCCUAUGCCUCAGCUGUUGUCUCACCCUUGAACCUCUUCCAGUCACUGGGACUCUCUUGUGCUGGAGUAUCCAUCCACUUUGUGGCCUUCUCACCCUGAAACAUCCCUCCACCGUGGGGGUCUCCUAUUAUUCCUGAGGUCCUCCAAGAGUCUCCAUUCAAAGAUGGGUCCAGGUCACAUCACCUUGAUCCCAAUUCCGGCAGGGUUUCUGAAUCUCCAUAUGUCACUCCAAUGCCCCAGCUGCAGUCUCUUGAAACCCUUCCAUUGCCUGGGAAAUCCUCACCCUGGUAUGCGCCUCUAACUUGCCAGCCUCCUUCUGCCAUUUCCAAGGCCUCCCUUUCAGAGACUGGCCCAGGUGAAGUGAUCUUGCUUCUACUGCCAAGAGUGGAUCUGAAUUUCCAGGCUUCAACAAAAUUCCUCAUCUUUAGUAUCGUCCUCGAACUUCUUCCAAUAAUCGUGACCUCCUCAUGCUAGAACAUCCAUUCACUUUGGUGACUUCUUCACUCCCGAAUGUCCCUGUCCUGAAGGACUCUUCAGCCCGCAACGUCACCGCCCCAAUGGGCUCCUCAGCCCACAAUGUCCUUGCCCCGAUGGACUCCUCAGCCCGCAAAGUCACAGCCCUGAUGGGCUCCUCUGCUCCAAUGGGCUUCUCACCUGGAAUGACCCUGCCCCGAUGGGCUCCUGAGCCAGUAGCGUUGCUGCCCCAAUGGGCUCCUGAGUUCACAACGUCCCUGCCCUGAUGGACUCUUCAGCCCACGUCGCUGCCCCAAUGGGCUCCUCAGCCUUCAACGUUGCUGCCCCGAUGGGCUCCCCUGCCCUGAUGGACUCUUCAGCCCACAAUGUCACUGCCCCGACGGACUCCUCAGCCCACAACAUCACAGCCCUGAUGGGCUCCUCUGCUCCAAUAGGCUUCUCACCUGGAAUGUCCCUGCCCCGAUGGGCUCCUGAGCCUGUAGCGUCGCUGCCACAACAUCCCUGCCCUGAUGGGCUCCUCAGCCCACAACGUCGCUGCCCCAAUGGGCUCCUCAGCCCGCAAUGUUGCUGCCUCGAUGGGCUCCCUGGCCCCAAUGGGCUCCUCAGCCUGCAACAUCGCCGCCCUGAUGGGCUCCUCAGCCCACAACAUCGCUGCCUCAAUGGGAUCCCCAGCCCCGAUGGGCUCCCCGGCCCCCAUUGGCUCCUCAGCCUGCAACAUCGCCACCCCAAUGGGCUCCCUGGCCCCGAUAGGCUCCUCAGCCCACAACAUCACUGCCCCGAUGGGCUCCUCAGCCCACAACGUCGCUGCCCCAAUGGGCUCCUGAGCCCAUAAUGUCGCUGCCCCGAUGGGCUCCUCAGCCUGCAAUGUUGCUGCCCUGAUGGGCUCCCUGGCACCGAUGGGCUCCCCAGCACCGAUGGGCUCCUCAGCCCGCAAUGUUGCUCCCGCAAUGGACUCCUCAGCCCACAAUGUCGCUGCCCCAGUGGGCUCCUCAGCCUGCAAUGUCCCUGCCCCGAUGGGCUCCUCAGCCUGCAAUGUCCCUGCCCCGAUGGGCUCCUCAGCCUGCAAUGUCCCUGCCCUGAUGGGCUCCCUGGCACCGAUGGGCUCCCCGGCACUGAUGGGCUCCUCAGCCCGCAAUGUUGCUCCCGCAAUGGACUCCUCAGCCCACAAUGUCGCUGCCCCGAUGGGCUCCUCAGCCUGCAAUGUCCCUGCCCCGAUGGGCUCCCCGGCCCCAAUGGGCUCCCCGGCCCCAAUGGGCUCCUCAGCCUGCAAUGUUGCUGCCCCGAUGGGCUCCCCGGCCCCAAUGGGCUCCUCAGCCUGCAACAAUGCUGCCCUGAUGGGCUCCCCAGCCCCAAUGGACUCCUCAGCCCACAAUGUUGCUGCCCCAAUGGACUCCUCAGCCUGCAACAAUGCUGCCCUGAUGGGCUCCCCAGCCCCAAUGGACUCUUCAGCCCGCAGUGUUGCUGCCCUGAUGGGCUCCUCAGCCUGCAAUGUCCCUGCCCCGAUGGGCUCCCCGGCCCCGAUGGGCUCCUCAGCCUGCAAUGUCCCUGCCCCGAUGGGCUCCCCGGCCCCGAUGGGCUCCCCGGCCCCAAUGGGCUCCUCAGCCUGCAAUGUUGCUGCCCCGAUGGGUUCCCCGGCCCCGAUGGACUCCUCAGCCUGCAACAAUGCUGCCCUGAUGGGCUCCCCAGCCCCAAUGGACUCCUCAGCCCACAAUGUUGCUGCCCCAAUGGACUCCUCAGCCUGCAACAAUGCUGCCCUGAUGGGCUCCCCAGCCCCAAUGGACUCUUCAGCCCGCAAUGUUGCUGCCCUGAUGGGCUCCUCAGCCUGCAAUGUCCCUGCCCCAAUGGGCUUCUUCUGCCAUUCAUGAGGUCUUCUGGGGAAUCUUCAUUUUCAAGGAUGGGCCCAGAUAAGCACCGAGUUCUGUCUCUCUUGUAACUACUCAGUCUAACUUUACAAAUCCAUCCAUUACCAAAUUUUUUCUUCUUUCUCUUCCCAAUUUGCAUAAAUUUACAUUACACGAGUUCUCCUUCAGAGAGUUCUGAAGAAAUUCCAGUUCCAAGGAAAGGCCUCUGUUUACCUGCCUUGCUCUCCCUUUCCACUCCUACUCCUCACUUCAGGUGCUCUGUGGCCAACCACAAAACCAUCUAAAAAGCCCAUCCAAUGGCAAGGAGAAGAACCAAUGCAUCUGGCACCAGUGCUGCUGGCUGGGGGAUUGGUUUGAGAACUGUAGCACCUAGAGCAGAUUUUGUCCCACGCCGCUCAAGCGCCGGGAGUCCAGCCCUGAGUCUAUGCCAUUUGGCAGAGUUGGGGUGCCUCACGGUCCGUCCCUAUCUGUGUCGGCCACCCACAUUCAUCUUCUCAGGGCAGAAAGGUCUGCCCACGGCUAGCCCAAGCCCCAGCCUAUUCCUCCUCCCGCUCUCUGUUUCCUGUCCCGAGCCCACAAGUGUCCUCAAAUUGUGUGCUAUCCCCUCCCUCAAUGCUUGGGCAGCCGCCUUCCUCUCCGGUUCUCUUCCUCCCUCCCUUCUCCACAUCCACGGCGCGUCACAUAAGCAAGCCGCAGAAGCUUCCACUUACCUGAAGCAAGAACUCUAUGUACGGCGCUUCUUUCAUGACAAAACUCUCAGACACAAUUCAAUCUCUCUCCUCACAUGGAUGCCCCCAGGAAGCAAGAGCCUCCUGCUUGUUCUCCCUACCUCAGAUCACAACCGAUCCUUUUCCCAUCACCUACCAAAGAGAUCUGUCUGAGUUAUUCUAUAAAUAAAAGUGAAUCUGUUAGCCAAAAUCUCAAAUACAAAAGAGUAUAUUAAUGUUCUCUCCAGCCUGGGCCUUCCAACAUCCUUAGACUUUCCGCUACUCUAUGGUCUCUUGGAUCCAGCACGGAUAGCCUCCCUCGGUCUUCCUAUCAAAGGUCAUUCCAUGGCCACAUUAUCCACGAAUUUCCCCAUCCCUGACACAUGGACUGCUCUCUAUCUGGGUCACUGUCCCAGCAUUCCUAGAGCUUGCUGAAAGUCUCCAUGAAAAUAUCACCUGCUGGUAACAGCCUUUCCCUGUCUUCCUCAGAGUAACGCUGUUCCUUCUCAGAUUAUUCCAUUUAUCCUCUACAUAUGUUGACUAUCCAUAGCUGCUUGCGUAUUGUCACGUUUCAAACGCAACGUGAUCUCCUAAAGAGUAAGGACUCUCUCUUGGCCCUUCUUUAUUUCCAUGCUACUUAGCACAUUUCCUUUCACCUGACAAGUACAUUGGGCAGCUAGAGUGCCAGAUCUGAAAUCAAGAAGACUCCUCUUCAUGAGUUCAAAUCUGACCUCAGACACGUCCUAGCUGUGUGACCCUGGGCAAAUCACUUAACCUUAUUUCCCUCAGUUUCCUCAUCUGUAAAAUGAGCUGAAGAAUGAAGUAGCAAACCACUGUACCAUCUUUGCCAAGGAAACCUUAAUGAAGUCAGAAAGAGCCGGACGCAACAAAGUAUUCAACAACAACAAACAAGUACUUUAGGACAGCCAGAAGACGCAGCAGAGAGAUCACCGGAACUAGAGUCAGGAAAACUACUCUUAGCGACUUAAAAUCUGGAAUCAAUCUCAGUUUCUUCAUCUAUAAAAUGAGCUGAAGAAUGAAAGAGCAAACCACUAAGAAAACUUUAAUGAAGUCAGAAAGAACUGAACGCAACUGAAAUCAUUCAACAACAACAAACAAGUACUUUAGGAAAGCCAGAUGAUGCAGCAGAGAGAUCGCCGGAACUAGAGUCAGGAAAAAUAUUCUUCGCAUCUUAAAAUCUGACCUCAGACACUUCCUAGCUGUGUGACCCUGGGCAAGUCACUUAACCCUAUUUGCCUCAGUUUCCUCAUCUGUACAGCAGAAGAAUGAAGUAGCAAACCACUCUAGCAUCUCUGCCAAGAAAACUUUAAUGUUAAGUCAGAAAGAGCUGGACGCAACUCAAACUACUCAACAACAAAAAAUAAGUACUUUAAGAAAGCUAGAUGAUGCAGUGCACAGAGUGCCAGAUCUGGAAUCAAGAAGACUCCUCUUCAUGAGUUCAAAUCUGACCUCAGACACGUCCUAGCUGUAUGACCCUGGACAAAUCACUUAACCCUAUUUCCCUCAGUUUCCUCAUCUGUAAAAUGAGACGAAGAAUGAAAUAGCAAACUACUCUAGCAUCUUUGCCAAGAAAACCUUGAUGAAGACAGAGUGGGAUGCAACUGAAACUACUCAAGAACAACAAACAAGUACUUUAGGAAAGUAGAUGAUGCAGUGGAUAGAGCGCCAGAUCUGGAAUCAAGAAGACUCCUCUUCAUGACUUCAAAACUGACCUCAGAUACUUCCUAGCUGUGUGACCCUGGGCAAGUUACUUAAUCCUAUUUGCUUCAGUUUCCUCACCUGUAAAAUGAGCUAAAGAAUGAAAUAUGAAGUCAGAAAGAGCUGGACGCAACUCAAACUACUCAAAAACAAAAAUACAAGUACUUUAGGAAAGCUAGAUGAUGCAGUGCACAGAGUGCCAGAUGUGGAAUCAAGAAGACUCCUCUUCAUGAGUUCAAAUCUGACCUCAGACACUUCCGAGCUGUAUGACCCUGGGCAAGUCACUUAGUCCUAUUUGCCUCAGUUUCCUCAUCUAUAAAAUGAGCUGAAGAAUGAAAAAGCAACCUACUCUACCAAAAGAGCCGGACGCAACUGAAAGUACUCAACAAUAACACAAAAGUACUUUAGGAUAGCCAGAAGACGCAGCAGAGAGAUCGCCGGAACUAGUCAGGAAAAGUACUCUUCAUGACUUAAAAUCUACAAUCAAUCUCAGUUUCCUCAUCUGUAAAAUGAGCUAAAAAAUUAACCAGCAAACCACUAAGAAAACUUUAAUGAAGUCAGAAAGAGGUGGACACGACAAACUAUUCAAUAACAACAAACAAGUACUUUAGGAAAGCCAGAUGACGCAGCAGAGAGAGAUUGCCAGAACUAGAGUCAGGAAAAAAUACUCUUCGCAUCUUAAAAUCUGACCUCAGACACUUCCUAGCUGUGUGACCCUGGGCAAGUCAUUUAACCCUAUUUGCCUCAGUUUCCUCAUCUGUACAGCAGAAGAAUGAAGUAGCAAACCACUCUAGCAUCUUUGCCAAGAAAACCUUAAUGUUAAGUCAGAAAGAGCUGAAUGCAACUGAAACUACUCAACAACAGAAAAUAAGUACUUUGGGAAAGCUAGAUGAUGCAGUGCACAGAGUGUCAGAUCUGGAAUCAAGAAGACUCCUCUUCAUGAGUUCAAAUCUGACCUCAGACACUUCCUAGCUGUAUGACCCUGGACAAAUCACUUAACCCUAUUUCCCUCAGCUUCCUCAUCUGUAAAAUGAACUAAAGAAUGAAAUAGCAAACUACUCUAGCAUCUUUGCCAAGAAAACCUUAAUGAAGUCUGAAAGAGCUGGACGCAACUGAAACUACUCAACAACAACAAAAAAGUACUUUAGGAAAGCCAAAUGACGCAGCAGAGAGAUCAUCGGAACUAGAGUCAGGAAAACUAUUCUUCUCGACUUAAAAUCUGGAAUCAAUCUCAGUUUCCUCUUUUGUAAAAUGAGCUGAAGAAUGAAACAGCAAACCACUAAGAAAACCUUAAUGAAGUCAGAAAAAGCUGGACACAACUGAAACUAUUCAACAACAACAAACAAGUACUUGAGGACAGCCAGAAGACGCAGCAGAGAUCGCCGGAACUAGUCAGGAAAACUACUCUUCGCAACUUAAAAUCUGGAAUCAAUCUCAGUUUGUUAAUCUGUAAAACGAGCUGAAGAAUGAAACAGCAAACCACUAAGAAAACUAAUGAAAGAGCUGGACGCAACAAACUAUUCAACAACAACCAACAAGUACUUGAGGACAGCCAAAUGACGCAGCAGAGAUCGCCGGAACUAGUCAGGAAAACUACUCUUCGCAACUUAAAAUCUGACGUCAGACACUUCCCAGCUGUGUGACCAUGGGCAAACCGAUCAACCCUCUUUGCCUCAAUUGCUCCAUCCAUAAAAUGAUCUGAAGAAGGAACUGGGCAACUCACUCCUGGAUCAUUGCUAAGAAAACUCCAAAUGGGGUCACUGAGAAUCAGACAUGUUGGAAAAACGAAUGGACCUCAUCAAAAUAAGUACUUAUUGAAUCAAUAGUUGUUGUUUUAAUUGUUGAUUUCCCUGUUAUUCUCUGAGGCAACUUGGUCAACCAUGAGAUCAGUGUUCAUAUCAUUUGAAGAUAAAAUAUCUAGCUACCUCCUAUAGCAUCUACUGUCACAUUUUAUCCUUUCUGCCUUCCAAUACAUCCUAUUUCUUCCUUGAGACUCUCUCGCACUCACAUCCACUUCUUUUCACUCACACAGACACCAGCCAGGUACAAGCCCCCCCCCCCUCUAUUCCAGACAGCAGCAGAGGCCUUCUGCUUUUAUUAUUCCAACUCAAAAUCUCUCCCCACUCCAAUCCUUUACCUACUAAGUUCUUAUUAAUAAAUAUUCCUUGACUCAUCCUGUUGAUUGCCCUACUCUUCCCUGGGGCCCCUUCAUCCUUCCAGAUAACCCAAGAGACAAGUCCAGACUAGCUGCACAUCUUUGCUCAGUUUAACUCUCUAAUAUAGCACUGACUGCUACAUUUUAUCCUAUCUUCCUAAUUUAUCUCAUUUCUUCCUUGACCACAUCCCUCGGACCCAUUCACUUCUCUCUAUUCACUGAGACAUUAUAUCCCUGCAUAAUUCACCAUCUCAUCCCUAGACAAGAACUACAAUGUUUUAAUGAUUUUCCCUCCCUCAAAUAACUCCUCAUUCCAGUCCAUUUUCCAUCAUUUGACAAAGGCUUCUUCCUGAAGCUCACGUCUGACAACUUACCCUAAACUCACCCAUGGCUCCCUAGUACCUACAAAAUACAAAAACUUCCUUUUGACUAUUAACGAUCUCUCCAAUCUUACCUUCCCAAUAUUAGUUAUUAUACUAUGCUUUCUGUGCUCCAACAAGGAUAGCCUUCCUUAGUGUUCUUCCUAAUGGACAAUCUAUCUCCAGAUUUUCCACUUUCCAUGACUUUCCCUAUAACCUCGUCUUGGCCUGCUCUGUCUGGCCCAGUCCCAGCUUUCUUCCCUUGCUUCAAAUCUCAGAUAAAACAUCACAAUCUAGAAGCAGCUUUACCCUAUCCUCAAGACCAAUGUCUUUCCCUUUUAGAUUACCUUCCACUUACUCUAUAUAUGUGAUAACAGAGUCUGGUUGCUUAGUGUUCCCCUCCAAAUACUUUGUGGGACAUCAAGUGUUGGGACUCUUUUGGCCCUUCUUUAUUCCACACUACUUAGUACAUUUCAUCUCAUCUAAUAAGUAUUUAUUGAAAAAUUGAUUUGACUUGUUUUCCUGUUAUUCUGAGAGACAACAUCACCUUCCUAGUCAUCAUCAGGACAGAUUACCUAUCACUGGAGAGCUUUAUUCGAUCUGACUUUACAUAUAGCAUCUGUUGCCACAAUUUAUCCUUUCUAUUUUCCCAAUGGAUCUUAUUUCUUCCUUAAUCAUCUCUCUCAGAUACCUCCCCUUCUCUUCCCAAGAUCAGGAACCAGCCCUGCCUUUCUUUGUAUUCCCAUUGCUUAGCACACGGCCUGGCCCAGAGGAAGCUCUAACUAAAGACUGGUUGGCUGGACUGGUUUCUUUCCCCAAGGCUCCAAAAGCUUGAUUUUACCUUCCCACCAUCUCUCUCCCCAAAUGCUUCAUUCACUCAUUCAUCCAUUCGUUCGUUCAUUUACGCACACGUGCUCUUCCAUCCGUGCACGGCAGCCCCCGGCUCGUCUUCCCUGCUGACCAGCCCACCCGGGAGCUCUUUUCCUCUAUUUGCAGGGAUUUCUCCUGGUCCCCUGCAGGCUUUGUCAUUUCUCCCUAGACUUGUCCCAUAUGCUCACUGGCUGUCUCCCAGACUGUACCAGAGCUACCUGCGACUUCCACUUAAUGGCUCUGUCUUCUGCAUUCAGGAGUUCACCUCAGUUUGAUUUUACUAUUUCUUCUAUGAUCACAUAUGGGUUUGUUGACUUGCCCUGUCCUUCAGAGGCAACUAGAAUUGCCAAGUUGUCUCUACAGAUGCUACAUAUUCCAGAUCAAUGUUUUACCUCUUUGGGUGAGCCUGGACUUCCCUCACUCUGGAACAUCAGUCCUUCUCCCUUGAGACCUGCUAACCUUGGUACAUCACUCUACCAUGCUGGCCCCUUUCAGCCAUUGGUGAACUCUUUUGAGGUCCCUAUUUGGGAAAGGGGCCCGGGCUGUGUAACCUCUAUUCACCUUCUGCCUCUAUUUCUGACUUCCCAGCUUACUAUCUCACCCUCAAACUUUCCCCUUCCCCUUUGACCUUCAAUGGCGGGGGCCUCCUCAUGCUGGAACGUCCAUCGACGCUGGAUCAUCAGUCCACCAUGCUGGUCUCCUUCUGCCUUUUCUGAGAUCCUCCAAAAUUCUCCACUUCAGGGACGGUCCCGGGUCACAUAACGUUGAUUCUACUUCCAGCACCGUUUCUGAACUGGAUGUCGGUCUAAUACCUCAGCUGUAGUCUCAGCCAUGAACCUUUUUCAGUGCAUAAGGAUUCUCCAUGCUGGAACAUCCACCCUCUCUGGUAGCCUUCUCAUCCUGGAACAUCAUUCCAUCAUGCUAGCCGCCUUCUGCCACUUCUGUGAUUCUCCAGGUCUCCAUUUCAAGCAUGGGCCCAGCUCCCAUCACCUUGAUUCCAAUUCCUGCACUGUUCCUGAAUUUCCAGACAUCGAUCCAAUGCCUCAGCCACAGUCUCACCCUUGAUCCUCUUCCAACUGUCGGGAUCCCCUCAUGUUGGUUCAUCCAUCCAAUAUGUGGUGUUCUCACCCUGGAACGUCACUCCAUUGUGCUGUCCUCCUGCUUCAAAGUUCUCCAUUUUAGGAUGGGCUAGCUUCCAUCACCUUGAUUCCAAUUCUGGCAGGUUUCUGAAUUUCCAGAUAUCAAUCCAAUGCCUCCACUUUAGUCUCAUCCAAGAACCUUUUUCAGUAUAUCAGGAUUCUACACACUGGAACAUCCGUCAACUUCAGUGGCCUUCUCUCACUGUGGAACAUCACUCUACCGUGCUAGCCUCUUUCUGCCACUUCUAUGGUCCUCCAGAGGUCUCUAUUUAAAGUAUGGGCCCAGUUCCCAUCACCUUGAUUCCAAUUCCAGCAGGGUUUCUGAAUUUCCAGACGUCGAUCCAAUGCCUCAGCUGUAGUCCCACCCUUGAUCCUCUUCCAAUUGUUGGGAUCUCCUCAUGCUGGAUCAUCCAUCCACCAGGCUGACCUUCUUUUGCCAUUUCUGAGGUCCUCCAGAGGUCUCCAUUUGAAGCACGUGCCAAGUCCUAUUACCUUGAUUCCGAUUUCCAGAUGUCAGUCCAACGCCUCAGCUGUAGUCUCACCCAUGAACCAUUUUCAGUAUGUCAGGAUUCUACAUGUUGGAACAUCCCUCCACUUCAGUGGCCUUCUCACUUUGGAACAUUACUUCAUCAUGCUAGCCUUCUUCUGCCACUUCUGUGAUCCUCCAGGUCUCCAUUUCAAGCAUGGGCCCAGCUCCCAUCAUCUUGAUUCCAAUUCCAGCACUGAUCCUCAAUUUCUAGACGUCAACCCAAUACUUUAGCUCUGUGUCCUCUCAACCUUGAUCCUCUUCCAGUUGUUGGGAUCUCCUCAUGCUGGAUCAUCCAUCCAGCAGGCUGGCCUCCUUUUGUGAUUUCUGAGGUCCUCCGGGGGUCUCCAUUUCAAGCAUGGGCCAGAUCCCAUCACCUCGAUACUGAACUUCCAGAUGUGAAUUCAUUGCCUCAGCUUCCUUCUGACACUCUUGAGAUCUUCCAGGGAUUUCCAUGUUAGGCAUAGAUCCAGAUCUCAUUAUGGAAUAUAAUUACUACACUGUAAUCUUUUUAUCUUCCCAAUAAAAGUUCUCACUUUAGAUAAAUUUGCAUUAUACAAAUAAAAACAUAAAUUUGCAUUAUACAAAUUACCUAAAGAAUUCUGAAGAAAUCUGCACUCCAAAAAACUGGCCUUGUUAACUCUCCUGGACAACACUAUACUCAAGUAAACACUGUGAGAGAUCCUGAGGUCAACCACGUCAUCCCAGGCCAUCAUUGGCCAGGUGGAACACCCUGAACUUCAAUGACUCUGGAAGAAAGAAUGAGGCUGAUAACUAUGCAAUUCUGGGACAUUUAAAUCCAAUUCACAACCAAGGAAAGACCUCACCCUGGGGUGUUAUUGGUCCUCUUCCAAAAGGAAGGUCCAACAACAGUACUGGGCUCUUUCUCUGCUCCCACCCCUUGUCUCGGAACGCAAUAGCCUCCUAAUGUCAACAAGAACCAAAGAAAAAUUAUCUCCAAAUAAGAGCAAAAGAACGAAUGCAAAAAGAGACCACAACCUCCACUUUGCUUGAGACAUCCACUGAGAAAGGACAAUUUUGCCAGCCACCCACAGAUACCUGCACAACUGGUCCCUCUUCUCAGGGACUGCACAUCUGUCCCCCAAUUCCCAAGUGUCAUCGGCGCCACCCACUUCUGUCCAUACCACGUCUGACCCCCCUGUGUUUCUGCCGUGCCAUGUUCUUCCUCCCCAUUUUGGCCGAGCCUCCACACAUCCUGCCUCCCUCCUCCCUUCCCCACAUCACCAGACAAAUUCACAGAGACUCUAUGCUAGUACGAGCCCUCGUUAUCUCUCAUCUGGACAAUGCCAACAGCCUUCUGCUUGUUUUUCCUGCCUCAAAUCACUCUCCACUAAAUCUUUUCUCCAUUCUCCCACCAAAGGAAUAUUCCUAAUGUCACAUCUGACCACAUUGCUCUAUAAAUGCAAAUGGCUCCCUAAUUAAUCUCUCUUUUCCAAUAUAAAACAUCCAUUGUCUAUAAUGUUCUCUCCAACUUCUCCUCUACUUUAUAUUUGCAACACUCUUAGACCUUCAUUACUUCCUGUUUUCUCUGAUCCCCCAACAUUAGCCUUGCUCCCAAAGGACAUCCCAUCGGCGUACUCUACAUCUUCCAUGGCCUUCUCAUCACCUUGCCUUGGACUGUUCUUUUAUGAGUCACCUUUCUGGCUUUCCUGCCUCUCACCAAGUCUCAGUUAAAAUAUCACCUUCUGAAAGCAGCCUGAUCCCUUUCUUCGCUCCGACCCCUUUAAACAACCAAGUGUCUAGAGUUGUUAAAUGGCAACCUCCAAUUACAAUACGAGCAGCUCAAAGCGGGGAUUGUAUUGGCCCCUUUUCUCCUAGAACACUGCCUGAGGCCUAAAAAAUAUUUCCUAACUAAACAUUGGUUGAUUUGACUUAUUGAUUUCACUGACACAACAUCAUCCUCCCAAUGAAUCUAGAUGACAACUUCCCUAACUUUUGCAACUGUUCACUCAAUCUAGGGCAGCUAGGUGAUGCAGUGGACAGAGUACCUAGUCUUCUAAGUUCAAAUACAGCCUCACACCCUUACUAGCUAUAUGACCAUAGGCAACUCAUUUAACCACGUGCCUCAGUUUCUUCAUCUGUAAAACGAGAUGGAGGAAGAAAUGCCAAAUCCCACAAGCAUUUUUACCGAGAAAACCCCAAAAGAGGUCAGAUAGAUGAGACAGAAAUGACAAAACAACAAAAUGUUGUAUAUUCAUCUUGAGCAAGUUGAUGGCGCAGUGGAUUGAGUGCCAGAUCUGGAAUCAAGAAGACUACUCUUCAUGAGUUCAAAUCUGGCCUCAGUCACUUCCUAGCUGUGUGACCCUGGGCAAGUCACUUAGCCCUAUUUGCCUCAGUUUCUUCAUCUACAAAACAAGAUGGAGGAAGAAAUGCCAAAUCUGACAAGCGUCUUUGUUCCCCCCCCCAAAAAAAACCCCAAAAGGGGUUAGAUAGAUGAUAUAGAAAUGAAGGAACAACAAAAUGUUGCAUAUUCAUUUUGGACAAGUUGAUGGCACAGUGGAUUGAGUGCCAGAUCUGGAAUCAAGAAGACUACUCUUCAUGAGUUCAAAUCUGGCCUCAAUCACUUCCUACUUGUGUGACCCUAGGCAAAUCACUUAACCAUGUAUGCCUCAGUUUCCUCAUCUGAAAAACAAGAUGGAGGAAGAAAUGCCAAACCCCUCGGGCAUCUUUGCCAAGAAAACCCAAAAGGAGCCAGGAAUAACCGGACGCAAGUGAAACGACGGAACCACAAUAACAAUAAAGUGUUCUAGAUGCUUUCAGAGCAGAUUGGUGGUGCAGCAGAUAGAGCGAUGGGCUCGGAAUUAGGAAGACAACUGUGUAUGAGUUCAGAUGCAGUCAUGGUCACUUCCUAGCUAUGUGAUCCAGGGCAAGUCACUUCAUCCAAUUUACCUCAGUUUCCUCAUCUGUAAAAUGAGCUAGAGAAGGAAAUGGCCAACCACUCCAGGAUUCUUGCCAAGAAAAUGUCAAAUGGGCUCACAAAAAGUCAGAUGACCAAAAUGACGACACAACAACAAUUUGGUCUAAGUGUACACAUUUUGUUGCAUUUUAUCCUUUCUAUCUCCCCAAAAUAUUCUCAUUCUUUCUUGAACGCAUCUCCCAGACUCAUCUACUUUCUCUUCAUUCACAUAGACACCACCCAGAUCCAAGCCCUCACUACCUCUCUUUUGGAAAAAUAGCACUAGCCUUCUACUUCUCCCUACCUCCAAUCACUUCCCACUCUUAUUCUUUUUUUCCCAUUCAUCUGGCAAAGCAAUCUAGCUACCUAACUCUCAGGAAGGACCGUGUUACUCUACAAAUACAAGCACCACGCUACUACUUAUAAAAUUCGAUGCAAAAUGCUCUUACAAUGAAUGCUCUCUGGUCCCUUUCCUCAUCUUACCAUCCCAAUAUUCCUAACCCUUACACUGCUUCAUGGUCUCUCUAAGAAAUCUAGCCUCCCUUAGUGUUCCACUAUCCUAUCAGAUACUAUCUUUCCCAUGGAUUUUCUGUCAGCUAGUCUUUCUUGAUCACUUUCCUGGAUUUCUAGGCUUAAUUCAACUCUCAGCUAAAACAUCACCUUCAAGAAGCAGCUCCCCCACUGUAUCCCCUCCAAUUCUAAAGCCAUUUCCUCUCAUCUUAUUAUGGUAUAUGGAAUGUCCACAGUUGUUCGCAUCUCGUUUCCUCCUAUUACAAUAUUAGUUCCUCAAGGUUCAGAUUCUUUUGGCCAUUUUUUGUUUCCAUACUAAAUAGCGCACUGCCCGGGACCUAGAAUUUCUUGAUUGCGUUGUUAGUAUCUGAGGCAUCUUUUUUCCUCCUGAUAAACUUAGGAGCUAACUUCUAGAACAUUUGCAACUGUUUUCUCAGUCUAUUCACAUAGCAAGAAUAAAAUGUGGCAAGAUACCAUUUUUCCCAGUUGGAUCUCAUUUCUUCCUUAAGCACAUCUCUCAGAGACAUCCCCUUCUCUCCACUCAAGCAGACCCCAGCCAGAUACAAGCCCUCAUUACCUCACUUCCUGAACAGCAGCAAAGGCCUUCUGCUUCUUUGCUCUCCCUCACCUCACGUCCUGGCCCAGUCCAUUUUCCAUUCCCUACCAAAGCAAUCUGUCUAAAGCUUGUAUCUGACCUCAGUAGUCCCCUAUGCUGUAAAUAACGGCACCUCCCUGCAAGAUCCAAUAGACAAACCUCUUUAACUAUGAAUGUCACCACGGCUUUUCUGUCUUUUUUUCAGUCUGCUGACAACUUACACUGACUUACGGAGUCUUUGGACAAACCACAUUGCCCUGCUUGCUUCUCUUCCCAACAGUCGCUGCUUCUCCACUUGGUACAUAUGUCUUUGGUCCUGAUCUAAUCCUGGUCUGGUCUCUCUCUCCCAUGUCUGUGUCCUGACUUGCGACAAACCACAACUAAGACCAACAUCUGGAAACAGCUUCCUUUUACUCCCCUAUCCUGGUGCCUUUCCCUCUCACAUAACUUGUCAUCUAUCCUGGAGAUGUGCUGUCUGAAGGGCUUGCUUGGUGUCUACCUCUAAUGACAAAGUAAGUUCUUCUCAUCUUCCCUUCUGUUAUUAUCUCCCUUAUUUGUUUAUAGGUUUGUGCUCAGAGUAAAUUUUCUUCCUCCUGAGAUCUUUACUAACUUCAGGCUCUUUCCCCUCUUCUAUAGUCUCUGAUGCAGUUUCCCAAGGUGCUGGACUUUAGAGCCAUCUCAGCCUUCCCCUACCCUGGGAAAUUAAAUCUUCAGCCUCAGUUUCCUGCAUCACCUGGAAGCCAAUCUCCUUAACUUCAGGCCUGGUACAGCCCUACACAUGUGCUAGUGUUCAUUUCUGACUUUCCCCAAGUUACCUAGCUAAGCCCUGCAAAAGGAGCUGGCACUAUUAAGCUACCAAGCCUAAGGAGAACAAACUUCUCACUUUCCUCCAAGACACAAAAUAGAACUAGGGGUACGGCUGGCCCUGCCAAAGCUUGGUGAAGGAGAAGGGACUAAAUGGAUAAGGUGGAGAUUAAGAAGUAUUAUUAUUCUUGACUUUGCCAUUCUCAGCAAUACAAUGAUCCAUGACUACUCUGAAGGAUUUAUGAUGAAAAAUCCUAUUCAUACCCAGAAAGGGAUCGGAUUGUGUCUGAAUACAGAUUGAAGAAUUCUCUCUUUUGUUUAAACUUCAUUUUUCUUGAGGGCUUUUAUUUUCAUUAGAUUUUUUUAUUAAUCUAAUUAAUCUAAAAUUAAAUAUUCAUGAAUUCAUUAUAUUUCAUUAGAAUUUUUCUAGUGAAAAAUUUUUCUUUCACAACAUGACUUCUACAGAAAUGUUUUACCUAACUUCAUAUAUGGUUUCUUUACUGUAGAUAGGGGCAAGGGAGAGAAAGAACCUAGAACUCAGAAAUUUUAAAACAAAUGUAAAAAAAAUUGUUUUAAAUGUAAUUGGGGAAAAAUAUUAAGGAAACAAAAUACAGAAUUAGCAUCCUCCUCUGCUAGCUCAUUAUGCUUGCUGAAUCUUCAAGGUUGUUGCUGUCUUAGAUUAAGGAGAUGGCUGAAAUUGCUCAAUUGAUCAGGUAUAAUUUCUCUUUAGAGAUUUGGAAAGUCAUGAGACACAGAGUUAGAAUAAUAUAUUCUGAAAUAAGUGUUCCCAGUUCCUCUGAAGCCUAGUACCUUCCUUCUGAGAUUACAACUCCCAUUUGCCCAGCAUACAUGUUAUAUGUACACAGGUGUUCACAUGCUAUUGUCCCCAAUAAUUCUAUAUGAACACAACUAGAAGACAGGGACAGUUUUUGCUUUUCUUUGUAUUCCCAGCCCUUAGCACAUUAACUGGCAUACAGUAGGCUCUAAAGAAAAUGCUUCUUGAACCUUUAAAGACUUGAUAACUCUGAUAAACACAAUAACCAGCUACACUUACAGAGGACUCAUGAUGAUACUCCCUCCUGCCUGCCUACCAGGAGACCUUUGAUGGACUUGGAGUACAGGUAGAGAAAAAACAUUGUGGGCAUGCCCAAUACAGGAAAUGGGUUUUGUGUGAUUAUUUGAAACAGAAGUUUUGUUUUUCUUGCUCUCCCAAGGGGAGGGCAGAAAGGGAAAGAAGAAAAGGCAGAUUUUUGUUGGAAAAUAAAAUAAAAUUUAAUUUCAGGAAAAGUAUGUUGAUUUGACUUAUCAAAUCCCUCAAUUCUCAUACCACAAGUCUAAUCUGUUGUCAGUUCUCAUUUCUACCUUCACAACCUCUCUCAUUCAUAUGUGUGCAUAUAUGAAUAGACCUAUACAUUUGAACACAUAUAUAUGUAAAUAUGCACAUAUAUCUCCACUCACAUAGCCACCACACUGGUGAAAUUCUGCAUCAUCUCUCCCUUGCACUAUUUUAAUUGUCUUCUACUCAGACUCUACUUUAAGCACUUAUUAAACAGAAAAACAAUAAUUUGUGAGUAUUCCAAUGGGCCCCCUGUACUUCUAGACAAAUCUAACAAGAGUUAAGGAUAUGAACAUCAUAUUCAAACAUUUAGAUAUGAUGGGCAUUUAAUGAUUACUGAAUAGAAUCACGAGAAGUACACAUAUUUUGGUCCUUUCCCUGGCACCUUACCCAAAAAAAUCCCCAUAUGCUAAACAGCAGGGAGCCCAGAAAUAAGGCAGAAAAGCAGUAGCAUUAAAGACUUCUUUUACAGAUCACAAUGUAAACAAUUACAAUCAAUAAAGGAAAUUUCAAUAAAAGAAUUUACAGUUAAAUUGAGACUAAAUAAUGGCAUUCUAAAGAAGGUUCGAAUAUAAGAAUAAAUCACAGACAUAGUAUAUACGUAACCUUAUCAACAAAAGGAAAACCCUGUCAUAACACACUCAAACUUCUAAGGGGCAGUCAAAGCCAUUCUUUCCAUCUCUCAGAAUAUUCAUCAACAAGAGAGAGAAAGAGGGGAAUAAUUCAUUGAGCACAUGACCAUAAAACAAAAACAUCAAGUUAUAAACACAAAUUUCUAAAUUCAUCCUGAAAAAUCAAAGCAAAAAAACCUCAUUUUGCAAGAUUACUUAUAUAUACAAACCAUUAUUAGGUAAUUGGGUCAAAAAAGAGGAAAAACAAAUUAUCAAUAUAGAAAAUCAAAAAACAUUCACAGUAGAUAAAAAAAAGACUGUCAGAAACUAUUAUACUCAAUUAAUAAAUGCCAACAAAACUGAAUGGAUAAUUCAAAAAAAUGUAAAGCCCCUACAUUACGAGAAUAAGAACUAGCAAAUUUAACUUAACCACAGAAAAUAGUAUAUAAACUAUAAACAAUCAAUCCAAGAUGGCCUCAUAAUUUAAUCAUAUCAAACAUUCAAAAUAACAGUCAACUCCCUUAUUAAAUGAUUUUUGUAAAAAUCAAGAUAUAAGGCUCUUUGCCAUAAUCCCAUGAGACAAAUAUGAUCUCAACACCCAAAGAAAAGAAAAAGCAAAUUAAAGGCCAAUAUCAUUAAUAAACAUCGAGGCAAAAAAUACUGUAUAAAAUCUUAACAAAGAGACUACCACAAGAUAUUAAAAUUAUCAUUAACAAUGACCACAUUGAAUUUAUACCAGGAACGUAGGAAGGUUCAGUAUGAGGCAAAGUACAACAUAAAAGACAAUGUAAAUAACAAAAACAUUUUAAAAUCACACAAUUCUAUCAGAAGAUAGAGAAAGCCUUUGACAAAAUACAGAUCGCUAUUUAGUUAACACUAAAAACCAUAGAUAUAAAUGAAACUUUUACACAUAUUACCGCUAUCAAAAAUGAAGAACUAGCAUUAUUUAGAAGGAAGAAAUACUAGUAAUCUUUGCAGUAAGACUGGGUCAUGGAUGUCAGUUAUCAAUGAUAAAAUUUCUUAUACCUCUAGAAAUUAUAGCUAUAGCAAUAAGACAAGAAAAGGAAAUUGAAGGUAUAUGCAUAAACAAAGAAGCAAAAUUACCUAUUUGCAGAUGACAUGAUGGCUUACUUAAUCAGCAUCAAAGUAGAAUAUGAAAUGAAUCCACAAAAAUCAUCCACCUUUUGUAUAUUACUAACAGUUAAACCUAGCAAGACAUAGAAAAAGAAAUGCCACUUAAAAUAAUUAUAAAAUGUAUUAAAUAUCUUGGAGUUAACUUAUCAAGCCGGAGUUCAUAGGUUGCAUAAAUGUAGAUACCAAACACUCUUUCCAAAAAAUAAAAGCUUAAAUCAUUGGAGACACGGUCAUUAUUCAUGGUUGGGCUAUACCAAUGUAAAAUGAUACUAUCUAAACUUAGAGAUUUAGUGCCAUACUAAUCAAAGCACCAAGGAGUUAGUUCCUUUAUAGGACAAGAUAAAAUGAUAAUAAAGUUCAUGUAAAAGAGCUAAAGUCAAGAAUCUUAAGGAAAAUAAUGAUCUGUGAAUUGGUUUGACUUCUGAACUUUUACGCUAAAAAGAACUCACUCAACUGCACAUAUACUUUAAAAAUAUACCAAUAAGAAAAUCAAAAGGACAGAUCCCAUAUAUACCAAAAUAGCGAUAGCAGAACUUUUGGUAGUAGCUGAGACUUGGAAUUAGAACUUGGAAUUCAAAUUCAAACCUGAAAAGAGCACAGUGCAUGAAAGUAAUAGAAUAUUAUUAUAUGGUAAGAAAUGACAAAUAUGAAAAAUUCAGAGAAACUUGGGAAGUCUUAUAUCAACCGAUGAAGAGCAAAGGAAGCAGGACCAAUAGAACACAUACAAAAUGAUAGUAAUGUUGGCAUUCAGGUGGUCCGGGCUAAAGUGCUAGGCCUGAAUUAGAAAGACUAGUUGUAUAGCCUUAGACAAUUCAUUUAAUCACUGUCUGCCUCAACUUGCUCUUCUGUAAAACAGGGGUCAUGAUAGCAUACUACCCCCCUUGCUGAAAGGAUCAAAGGAUGCAAUAUUUGUAAAGCUCUUUGCAAACUUUAAAGCACAAUCUAAAUGCUAGCAAUGUGAAGGAAAACAACACCAAAAGACAUCAAUGCAGUGACCAAUCACAACUUCAGAUGAGUAAUGGUGAAACAUGCUUGCACUCCCUUGGCAGAAAGACACUGGACCAGGGGUUCAGGAUGAAGUAUACAUCCUCAGACACGGCCAAUAUAUUGCUCUACUUAGCUUUAACUGUACCUCUUUAUGACAAGGGAGGGUUUUCAUGAGGUGAGAGGGUCACUGAAAAGUGAUUGGCAGCUAGAUGAUACAAUGGAUAAAGCACUGCUGGAGUGAGAAAGACCCAAGUUCAAAUUUGGCCUUCUUAGCUGUGUGAUCACCAACAAGUCACUUAGCACAGUGUUAACCACAUAGUAAGCACUUGAUAAAUGCUAAUUAUAAUAAUUAUUAUCAUUAUAAAGUGGCAGUUAUAUUCUUAAUAAGCAUCAAUAUAACUAUUUUAAAAGUUUUUAAUAACCUUGAACUCCUCCCUGAAACAAAGGCCCAACUUUUUAAUAACAGUUUUCUACCUUCUUUUAACAUGGCUGUAAGUCAUGGAACAACACUAAAGUCUCUUAAGAUUUGAAAAUGGGAAGGCUGGAAAGCAAUUUGCCAGAAACUGGUGUAGAACAACACCCCACACAAUAAAUCAAGAUAAAAUCCAAAUGGGUACAUGAUUUAGAAAUAAAGGUAAUAUCAUAAGCAAAUCAUGGGAGCAAAGGAAAAAUUACAUGAUUUAUACAUAAGAGCAGAGUUUAUGAAAAACCAAGGAUCAUAGGCGGUAAAAUAGAUAAUUUUGAUAACAUGAAAUGAAAAAGCUUUUCCACAAACAAAAUCAAUGCAGCCAAAAUUAGAAGGAAAGCAGAAAACUGGGGUGGGGGGGAUUUUGUAGCAAAAAAAAAAAAUCAGAGACCUGAGGCAAAUUUAUAAAAAUAACAUUCCCAAAUUGUAAAAUUAUAUAUCUAUAAAAACAUUACCCAAUUGACAAAUGGUCAAAGGAUAUAAACAGGCAGUUUUCAAAAGAAAUGAAAACUAUCAAAAAUCAAAUGAAAACAAUGCUCUAAAUCACUACUAAUCAGAGAAAUGCAAAUUGAAAAAACUUUGAACUUUUUGUCUAGCAUCUUAGCUAGUGGCGCCAUAGGUUACCUGCAGUUCUACUAGAGCCACCCUUUCAAAUUCAGCCAGCUUUCUCAAGCAUGACAUUUCUGUUUCCAACAGCAAGGCCUGAUCCAUGGGUAAAGCUUGAACUUAUACUGCCAGUUCUUCUACCAGCAUGCUAAGGGCAUCGGUUACAUCAAUUUGGAUUAAAUUAUCUUUAUGAACUUGGCUUUGGUGAUUAGUCAUCAUUUUACUGGACUCUAAACAACUAUUUGACAAGCCUACCUAAAAACGGACUGUUGUGCAUACUAUGCUAAUUUGUUUUAAAAAAUGUUAAAGGUCACCCUGAGUUAUGAAUAAAAUUUUACUGUGAAUUUAUAAAAACAAUGCCUAUACCUGUAAGAGUAGCUAAUAUGAUAGAAAAGGAAAAUGACAAAUGUUGGAGGGAAUGUGGGGAAAUUGGGACACUAAUGCAUUGUUGGUGGAGUUGUGAAAUGGCCUAACAAUUCUGGAGAGCAAUUUGGAACUAUGCCCAAAGGGCUAUAAAACUAUACCUACCCUUAGACCCAGUAAUACUCCUACUAGGUCUGUAUAAAAAUAUGAUAAUAAGUUUAAAAUAACUAUUACCUGGGGGGGGUAAUGAAGAGGUUCUUGAUACAUAUAAAUAGGAGGAAUAAGCAUUUAUUAAGAAUCUAUGAAGUGCCAGGCACUGUGCUAAGUGCCUUUUUUAAAAUGACAAAUAUUAUCACAUUUGAUCCUCACCACAACCCUGGGAAGUAAGUAUUGUUAUGAACCCCAUUUUACAGUUGAGGAAAUUGACUAAGUGCCCUGCCUAGGAUCAUACAGCUACUGCCUGAGGCUAUAUUUGAAUUCAGGUCUUCCUCACUCCUUGCCCAAAGCCUGGUGAACUGUCCUUCAACCAACUGCCUCUCAAUAGGCUACCAUGCAUUACAAAUAGGGAAUUAUAAGAGCAAGAAUAAAAGAUGUUAUAUCCAAAAAAAUGUAUGAGUGAAAACAAAGAUGGGUUAAUCAUGUGGUGAGAACAAGAAAUCACUGAUGAAUUUGAUUACAUGAAAUUAAAAAGUUUUUGCGCAAACAAAACCAAUGCAGCCAAGAUUAGAAGUAAAGCAGGAGAUUGGAGGUGGUGAGAGGAAUGGACUUACAGCAAGCUUCUCUGAUAAAGAUCCUAUUUCUCAAAUAUAUAGGGAACUGGACCAAAUGAGCACUGGGGUUCUUCACUGGCACAAUACCUUCUAUCGUACAGGAUACACAAAUAUGAAUGUGCUGUGAUAUGGGUGUAUGUGUAUAAUUCAUGGAUUGAUGAGAUCAUAGAUAUAUUUGAAUGCUCAAGUAUAAGUGACUCUACAACACUUUCUACAACCUUUUUUUCUCUCUUCAAGUCUUUUACAGCAUCCUCUCCCUUCUCCUUCUCAGCAAGGGAUCUCAUUCAUGCUUGUGUUGAAACCAGUUGCUACAGGCUCUCAAGAAAUAGUUGUUAAAUGUUUAGGAAGAGCAUUUAUACCUCAGAAAUUGGCCAAGGCUACAAACCAGAACUGUAUUGGGUUUUUUUUUGUUUGUUUGUUUUGAGGUUUUUUGUUUUGGGGGUUUUUUUUGAGGGGGAUGGUUUUUUAGAGCUGUAUUGUUUUAUCGAAUGUUCAGACUUAAAGUGACAGAGAACAUGCCACUUAAGUAGAUUCCAUUUAAAAGUGUUUCCUGUGUUCUUUUUUCUUCUCUAGAAAGAAAUUAAACAUUUACCACUAUACCACAAACUUUACUUCACACUACACUGAGAAAACACUUAGCUAAACACUUAGCUAUUCUGAUGUUUAAAAAGAGAUGUUCCUAUCAGAAAUGAAAAACAACUUACAACAAAGAAGAAAUUAAAUAAAUUUUCAGAAAUUAUUUUGCCUAAUUAUAUGCAAACAAAAUUAAUAAGUAAGGAGAAAGAAGUAUUUAUAAAAAGUCACCACAGAGAUAAACAAAACAAGAAACAGAUUCUUUGAAUAACCUAAUGUCAUAAAAAAGAAAUUGAAGAAGCCAUAAACUUUCAAAGGAAAAAACCGAGGACUAGAAUAUUUUUAAAGGAAAUAUAGCAACCACUCAAGAACAAUUAAUUCUAAUAUUAUAUAAACUAUGAUAAUAAGGCACCCUUCUAAUAUCUACAACACAAAUAUAUUCUUGAUAACUAAACCACUGAAAGAUAGCUUUUUCUUUUUAAUUGUAGACCAAUAUCCCCAAUGAAGAACAGCUAGGUGGACACAGGAGAUAAGAGUGCUGGGGCGUGGAGUCAGGAAGACUCAUCUUCCCGAGUUCAAGUCCAGCCUCAUAAUUUACUAUCUGUGUGAAUCUGGGCAAGUUACUUCACGCUGUUUGCCUCAGUUUCCUCAUCUGUAAAAUGAGCAAGAGAUGGAAAGGGCAAACUACCCUACUGUCUUUGCCAAGAAAACCACAAAUCAGGGCAUGGAGAGUUGGAAAUAACUGAAAAACGAUUAAACAAUGACAAAUAUUCCCAUGAACACUGGCACAAAAAUUUAAAAUAAGAUAUUAAUAUGUAGCCUACAACAACAUAUUAGCUAGAUUAUGAGAAAUUCAGGGUCGGUUCAACAUAAUGACUAAACCAGGGCUUAAGGAUAUCACAUAAGUUAAAAUGGACACUUAAUUAUACUAAUUUAAAGUUUUUAAUGAUGUAAAAAUUAGAAGGGAAAAAAUAACUUGAGAAAAAAGUUCACAAGUUACUCUAGGAAAGGUCUUAUUUCCAACAUAAAGGGUGUUCCCAAGGUUUUAGUGCAGUUUUAAGAUGUCUCCAGCUCUCUUUGAGAGAUCUCUUUCUCUCUCUCUUCCCUCCCCCCUCAAUCUCUCUCUUCUUCCUAUUCUCACUGUGUGUGUGUUUCCCUCUCUAUCUCUCUGUGAGUGUCUGCGUCUGUCUCUCUCCAGGACAUUUCUUCCCCCUCCUCUCUUUUCUCUCUCAAUCUCUUUAUCUCUCUCUCUAUCCUACUUCCUUCUCUGGCUCUUCCUGUCUCUCCUCCACUUCCCUGUUUUACUAUCUGUUUCUUUGUCUCUGUGUCUUUUCCUCUCCAAUAUGUCUCUCUCCCCCUCCCUUUUCUCUCCAUAUCUCUUUCCCUCUGUCUAUUUCUCCUUCCACUUCAGUAUGUCUCUCUCUCCCCCUCUUUAUCUCUCUCUCUGUAUUAUGAUCUUUGUCUCUCUUUAUCU